This 545-nucleotide ribosomal RNA is filed under the name Phrynixini sp. RNAcentral describes it as "partial 28S ribosomal RNA". It matches the Rfam family "Eukaryotic large subunit ribosomal RNA", at positions 284 to 628 of the family's 3401-position model. The record is from RNAcentral. Lineage: Eukaryota; Metazoa; Arthropoda; Insecta; Coleoptera; Curculionidae.
AGCCCUAAGUGGGUGGUAAACUCCAUCUAAGGCUAAAUAUGACCACGAGACCGAUAGCGAACAAGUACCGUGAGGGAAAGUUGAAAAGCACUUUGAAGAGAGAGUUCAAGAGUACGUGAAACCGUUUAGGGGUAAACCUGAGAAACCCGAAAGGUCGAAGGGAGAAAUUCAUUCGCGUUUCGCUGUCGGCGUGAGACGGGGUUGUGUGACGGAGAAGGCGUUCGCGUGUUCUCCGCACCUUCCGUUUUUCGAACCGAUGGCGAACGCGUGCACUUUUCUCCUGGUAGGACGUCGCGAUCCGUUGGGUGUCGGUCUACGGCUCGCGGUGGAGUCCGAUCGUACAGCUUGCUGUAUGACCGGACCCGCGUGUCCUGGCUGACUCGCUCGACGGUAUUUGAAAGGUUUAAGGCCGCUCGCUCUAGAAGCGUUCGACUCGUGGCAAGCGCGUCAGAUGUGUGUCGGUGACCGGACCCAGUGCCGGUUCUGACCUCUGAUGACUGUUGGCCGCGAAGUUCUCGAACAGACCUCUAACCGAUCUGCGACGC